CUGAAGCCACCUAAGCUGCCAAGCAAUAUACUUAAGAUCUUCUCAGUGGAGAAGAGACUGAAUGCAUGAGAAGAGGCUGGGUGGAGGGAGGUCUAACCUAGAUUUGGAGAAAACUGGGAUGAUCAAGGCCAGCUGAGAGGUUGCCGUAUCAAGACCUGGGACUAAAUUGUUCUCUCUCUGAUUUCUUCAUGCUCACCCCAUGUGUAUGUGUCUAUGUCUGUGUUUGUAUGUCUCUGUGUGUGCACAUGUAUGUGAGUUCAUGAUGGCCAGAAAACAACACUGUGUGUCAUCUUCAGGAAUGCUGAUGUUCACCUCCUUUGAGACAGGCUCUCUCAUUAGCCUGGAACUCACCAGCUGGUCCAGGUGAUACCUGGUCAAUGAGCCCCAGGUUCUGGGAUUACAAACAUAUGGCGCCAUGCCUGAAAUAGUUUGUUUUCUUUUAUCUCACAUAUUUGAAUGUUUUGUUUUCAUGUUUGUAUGUGCACCAUGCCUUAAGUGUCCACAAAGACCAGAAGAGGGCCUCAGAUCCCCUGGAACCAGAUUUACAGGCCGUUGGGAGACACCAUGUGCUGGGAACUGAACCCGGCUCCUCUGAAAAGGCAGUAAGUGCUUUUAACCACUAAGCCGUCUCUUUAGUCCUUAUGUCUAGUAUUGUUAUGUGGGUUCUAGGGAUCACACUUGGAUCCUCGUACUGGCAAGAUAAGCACUUCACCAACUGGGAUGACUCCUCGCCCUGGACUGGCCGCACGUGAGAUGAGAAGCCUAGAGUGGAUGGUAUCUGGACUUGACCACAAAGAUACAAACAGGGUUGUUCCUGGACACACUGUGAGCAUUUGUUUCCCACACCUGUCCCAUGCAGACAUCAUCAGCUCCACACCUGUUCCAUGCAGACAUCAGCUGGGAUCCUGGGUCCCAGAAUGCUGCAGAUCUGGUCUCACUGGGACAUCUUUGUACAUGUUACCUUGGAGGCUGUGCAGACUCCAGGCAUCCGAAGAAGGACGGUGAAGGACUGGGAUAAGGACACCUAUGACCUAUGACUUCAGAGCUCAGUUCUGGAAUCCAGGGAAUCCCCUCCGCACUGGUGCGCCCGUCUCCUCUUAUCUACAACCAGACCCCGAAGAGCCAAGGACCAGUCCUAUUAAUCAAUUGUCUGCUGUCUGAGCUAAGAGCAGGGCUGCCUGGGCUGAUAAACUGCAGGGGGAGGGGGAAAGGACAUGGACUCAAGACAUGCUUCUUUUAUCUGGAGCUGCACCUCAUAAUUGCUGUGAAUCACCACAGUGUGUGCAUCUUGGGGCACAGCCCCAUCUGACCUGCACCUUCUCGUGCAUAUAAAUCAUAUCCACUCCAGGCUGCUUCUAGCUGCUCACAUCCCACAGAGGGCGGCACACCUGUGGAGAUGUUCCACUCCCCCCCCCCCAGCACCCCUGUCCUGUGCUUUAACAGUCAGUCAGGCAAUGCUCUGUGCAUACCACACUGGUCUAGGCUGAGGGUGUGUGAUUCUUGAGGUGAGCCUGGUACAGAGAGAAUGGCCUUAGGAGGUUCCUAAGGUCAGACAGACCCACUAUCUGUUGGAGUUGGUUGGUUUGAUCCGAG
This 1593-nucleotide long non-coding RNA is filed under the name Meriones unguiculatus (Mongolian gerbil). RNAcentral's name for it is "lncRNA (ENSMUGG00000009220.1)". The record is from RNAcentral. Lineage: Eukaryota; Metazoa; Chordata; Mammalia; Rodentia; Muridae.